RNAcentral lists this transfer RNA (64 nucleotides) under Rhyzopertha dominica (lesser grain borer). RNAcentral describes it as "tRNA-Asn". The record is from RNAcentral. Lineage: Eukaryota; Metazoa; Arthropoda; Insecta; Coleoptera; Bostrichidae.
UUAAUUGAAACCAAAAUAGAGGUGUACCACUGUUAAUGGUAAAAUUGAUUUAAAUCCAAUUAAG